Molecule: ribosomal RNA, 253 nt
Filed under: uncultured bacterium
Lineage: Bacteria
Description: partial 16S ribosomal RNA
Rfam family: Bacterial small subunit ribosomal RNA
Source: RNAcentral
UACAGAGGGGGCAAGCGUUGUUCGGAAUUACUGGGCGUAAAGGGCGCGUAGGCGGCCUGCUAAGUCGAACGUGAAAUCCCUGGGCUCAACCCAGGAACUGCGUCCGAUACUGGUUGGCUUGAAUCCGGGAGAGAGAUGUGGAAUUCCAGGUGUAGCGGUGAAAUGCGUAGAGAUCCGGAGGAACACCAGUGGCGAAGGCGACUCGCUGGGCCUAAACUGACGCUCAGACGCGAAAGCAUGGGGAGCGAACGGG